This is a non-coding RNA of Sorex araneus (European shrew), 666 nucleotides long. NCBI's taxonomy places the organism in Eukaryota, Metazoa, Chordata, Mammalia, Eulipotyphla, Soricidae. The record is from the annotation of a RefSeq genome assembly.
AUGGCCUGGCCUCCUGUCCUCCUCCUGUUCCUGCUAGCUCAGUACCCAGGCUCCUGGGCGCAGACUGGACUGACUCAGGAAGUAUCAGUGUCAGGGUCUGUGGGACAGACAGUCACCCUCACCUGUACUGGAACCAGCACCAAUGUUGGUAUCAAUGGUGCAGGCUGGUACCAGCAGAUUCCUGGUGCUGCCCCCAAAACUGUGAUGAUAGGAAAUUCUCGACCUUCUGGGAUCCCAGAUCGGUUCACUGGUUCUCAAUCUGGAACCAAGGCCUCUCUGACCAUCUCAGGUGUGCAGACCGAGGAUGAGGCUGAUUAUUACUGUGCUUCAUAUGACUACAUUAUCGACGGAGCCACAGUGCUUCAGACACGAGGGGAAAUGAGACAAAAACCCAGUCCUGUUUUAGGUGCCCCUCCCCCCCAUGAUAAACUGUCAAAACCGGAAACAGAGCUCCUCAUCUUCACCCUGAGCAGUGGCUUCUGUGCUGGUGGCACCUGCAUGCAAUGGUACCAACAGAAAUCGGAGACCCUUCUCUGGUGUCUCCUGCACUACCACAGGGACUCCAAGAAGUACCAGGGUUCAGCUGAACUUGUGAUUGUGCUGGCACAUUGGAUGGUCUCUGUGGUUGAUCUUCAUCUGACUCAGCAGGUGGCGCUGUGUGCUUGA